RNAcentral lists this long non-coding RNA (661 nucleotides) under Homo sapiens (human). RNAcentral describes it as "non-protein coding lnc-TERT-5:1". The record is from RNAcentral. Lineage: Eukaryota; Metazoa; Chordata; Mammalia; Primates; Hominidae.
CCCACGUGGGCGCUGCUGCUGACAGUCCUCAUCUGCGAGACUGGCAUCCUCAUCGCCUCUCUGGACAGCGUGGCCCCGAUCCUCUCCAUGUUCUUCCUCAUGUGCUACCUGUUCGUGAACCUGGCCUGCGCCGUGCAGACCCUGCUACGUACCCCCAACUGGCGUCCACGCUUCAAGUUCUACCACUGGUGAGGCCACUCAGCACGGGCGUGAGGAGCCCCACAGGCUGGGACACUGGGUGCCUCUGCCACUGGUGAGGCCGCUCAGCACAGGCGUCAGGAGCCCCACAGGCUGGGACACUGGGUGCCUCUACAAGGCCAGCUGCUCUGGGCCUGAAGACCCCAGCGCGUCCUUGACUGUUCCUUUGCGGAGUAAGCCCCUGCGCAGCUGAUGAGACUGCACCUGAGGAAGGCCUCUGGUUACGAGGAUGCCCAGGACCCUGUCCUUUCUGGGUAUGAGCCUGUGCCUGGCGCUGAUGUUCAUCUGCUCCUGGUACUACGCGCUGUCCGCCAUGCUCAUCGCUGGCUGCAUCUACAAGUACAUCGAGUACCGCGGGGCCGAGAAGGAGUGGGGCGAUGGCAUCCGUGGCCUAUCCCUGAACGCCGCCCGCUACGCCCUGCUGCGCGUGGAGCACGGUCCCCCCCACACCAAGAACUGGAGG